This 74-nucleotide unclassified non-coding RNA is filed under the name Drosophila melanogaster (fruit fly). Its description in RNAcentral is "snRNA-b". The record is from RNAcentral. Lineage: Eukaryota; Metazoa; Arthropoda; Insecta; Diptera; Drosophilidae.
NUAAACUGGAACGACACUGAGAGAUUNCAUGGCUGUGAAGGAUGAACGCAAAACCGUGAAGCGUUCCACACCCN